RNAcentral lists this ribosomal RNA (253 nucleotides) under uncultured bacterium. RNAcentral's name for it is "partial 16S ribosomal RNA". It matches the Rfam family "Bacterial small subunit ribosomal RNA", at positions 526 to 779 of the family's 1533-position model. The record is from RNAcentral.
CGUAGGGGCAAGCGUUAUCCGGAAUUAUUGGGGCGUAAAGGGUGCGUAGGCGGGUUAUCAAGUCUUUGGUUAAAAUGCGGUGCUCAACGCCGUAGUGCCAAAGAAACUGAUAGUCUAGAGUAUGGUAGAAGUGAGUGGAACUCCAUGUGUAGCGGUAAAAUGCGUAAAUAUAUGGAAGAACACCAGUGGCGAAGGCGGCUCACUAGGCCAAUACUGACGCUGAGACACGAAAGCGUGGGGAGCAAACAGGAUU